ACACACCCAUUCAGUGACAUCAUUCAAUGUCAUGGCGCCCAGCCAAAGGCUAUCAUACAGUCAGACUGCACCAGUGACCCCAGUGACCUCGCUCCCUGUCAGUCUGUGAUUUACAGAUUAAAGCUGAGGUGGACAGAAAUCAGACAGUUGUCCCCUCUCUGUCCUAAGCUCCGCCCACCAGACAACCACACACUUCAUACAGUGACUCAAUGUUUCCAUACGCUGGUUUAUUUCAUCUCAUUUCACUCUCAGCCACUUUCUAGCUGCUUGCAGCCAAACACUAUAGACCACGCCCCUAUGCCUCCUCCUCCUCGCUCCGCUACAGACCACCUUGCUGGGAGGAGAGUGGGCAGCAGCUCUGGAGACUGACCUCCAGUCAGAGCCGGCCCAAGGCAUAAGCGAACUAAGCUCCUGCUUAGGGCCCCGUGACCACUAGGGGGGCCCCAAGAGCAAUUAACUUCAAAAAAGAAAAAAAAAAAGAACAAAUUAAUUCUUUUUUUCGAUGUGUGAGUGAUGAUGAUUCACAUAUUAUCAAACAAAAAGACAGUAUUAUGUUAACAGAGUGUAGUUUCCUACUGCCUCUCUGCUCUAAAUGUCAGACCUCCGCUGGUAAGGUGUGCAUCCAGCCUGCAGUGCGCACUGCGCAUCCACGGAGCUAGGAGCAGGUGGAAGGCCUAAUAUUGUCGCAACAAAGGACAUACCCUUCAGGGACAGAAGAAAGAAAGAGAAAGAAAGAGGAAGAGGAGAAAAAACAACAAGAUAAAUGUAUGUUUGCAUGUCUUGGUAAUGUAACGUUUGGUGUCAAGGAGAUUUUGAAAAGUUUCCUCAAAUUAAGAAAGUCCCUAAUUAUUGUCUCUUAUUACUAUGUUAGCCUAUAAUAGCAAAUUAGCUAGCUAACGUUAGUUCAAAACUAGAGAAAUGUAUCUUUUAACUGGUUAGAGGUUAGAUAGCUUACUAUUCAAGCUAACGUUUUUGUGUUUGUGUAAUAGCCUACUUUGAAUAAGUUGAUUCUUGGUGUAUAUAUAUAUAUAUAUAUAUAUAUAUAUAUAUAUAUAUAUAUAUAUAUAUAUAUGUACACAUAUAUAUAUCUGGGUCAUUUUUGGCAUCAAAACAACGUUUUUGAUAACGUUUGAUAGCAAAUGUUUAUUAACAACUUAUUAAUUACGCGGUGAUGUUUGCUAGCAAUAUGUUUUUGCAUUAAUGAAUUAACUUCACUUAUAGUUUGAGAUAUGUUGUUUGCUGCAGAGCACCGUAAUUUUUGUGAGUAAAUAAACAUAUUUCUUUUACAUCAACUCCCUUUUAUGCUCAUACGUUAUAUGAAACUUCCCCAGGAGCACUGUUAAAGUAUUUUGGAGGAGGCAAUGACUCAGCCCAGGGGCAGUCCACCUCCUCAGGCUCAGCCCAGGGGCAGUCCACCUCCUCAGGCUCAGCCCAGGGGCAGUCCACCUCCUCAGGCUCAGCCAAGGCUAAUGAAUCAGGUGAGGGAAAAACUGUCACCAUAUAUAUUUAAUUUCUAGUCAAAUUAUCUCAUUAAGAUAUACUAAUAUAAGAUAUAAUUAUAUGACAAGGGACAUGUUUUUCAUCUUAGAUCCAUCUCCAUCCUCUGUGCCCACUAUCCCCUCUGUGUCUGCUGCAACCUCAGCUCUACCUGGUAAGUUAACAACAAAACAGCCUUUGUAAUUGCUCAGUGUACUGCAGAACAUUCUGAGAUUAAUCAUUUUUAAUAUAAGACAUAAUCAUAUGAAAAGGGACAUGUUUUUAGACAAAUGCAUAUUAUUUCAAAACUUCUCUAGCAAUUUUCAGUUGUUCCACUGGCAGAUUGUUUUCUUACUACAAGCUAUAGCUGUACUAUUUUACUUAGAAAAUAAGCAGCAUAAUUUUCAUGUGUAGUAUGACAUCUAACAUGACUUGCUUUUGUUGUUGUUUUUCAUCUUAGGUCCAUCUCCAUGCUCUGCUCCAUCCACUGUGCCCACUGUCCCCUCUGUGUUGCAGUUUAUUUAAAACAAAAAAUAAUAAAGCAGAUUGUGUUUACAGUAAAUGAUUGGUUUCUUUUGUUACUUUUAGUUGGCCUAGAUGACAUUUGGUAUCCCACUUUGUACUAUAUCACUUUGAAUAUUAAGUGUAAAUUAACCCCAGGCUGCUCUUGUAGCUGAAUUUGCUACCAUUUCAGAAUAAAAACCAUAAAUGGGUAAAACAUGCCAGGCUGCUCUUUGAGGUUUUAUGUAUUGAUUCUCUGUGUGGCCAGUAGGGGGAGUUGCUGACUUUGCCAAAUAUUAAUUGAAAGAUUUUUCUGCAAGUCUGCAAAUCUGUUGUCUGCUUCCAUGGCCUUCUCACAUCUAGUUUUACAAGUGAUGACAGAGUAGAACAUGAAAUAACUUACAGCAGGUGAGUGAAUGUUGAAUAAUCAGUAUUAUUGGCAGUAAUAGAGGGCCCCAAAAUCAAAUUUUGCUGAGGGCCCCAUGGAGGCUUGGGCUGGCCCUAAACGCGACAGCGUCAGGUGUGACAGUGUCAGAUGUCGCAGCUAGAGGUGUGGCAGCAUCAGGUGUGGCAGCAUCAGGUGUGACAGCAUCAGGUGUGACAGUGUCAGAUGUGGCUGCAUCAGGUGUGACAGCAUCAGGUGUGACAGCGUCAGGUGUGGCAGCAUCAGGUGUGGCAGCAUCAGGUGUGACAGCAUCAGGUGUGACAGUGUCAGAUGUGGCUGCAUCAGGUGUGACAGCAUCAGGUGUGACAGUGUCAGGUGUGGCAGCAUCAGGUGUUGCAGCAUCAGGUGUGACAGUGUCAGAUGUGGCAGCAUCAGGUGUGACAGCAUCAGGUGUGACAGUGUCAGGUGUGGCAGCAUCAGGUGUUGCAGCAUCAGGUGUGACAGUGUCAGAUGUGGCAGCAUCAGGUGUGACAGCAUCAGGUGUGACAGUGUCAGGUGUGACAGCAUCAGGUGUGGCAGCAUCAGGUGUGACAGUGUCAGGUGUGACAGCAUCAGGUGUGGCAGCAUCAGGUGUGACAGCAUCAGAUGUGGCUGCAUCAGGUGUGAGAGUGUCAGAUGUGACAGUCUCAGGUGUGGCAGCAUCAGGUGUUGCAGCAUCAGGUGUGACAGUGUCAGGUGUGGCACCAUCAGGUGUAACACCAUCAGGUGUGACAGCGUCAGGUGUGGCAGCAUCAGGUGUGACAGGACAGUGUCAGGUGUGAGAGCGUCAGGUGUGAGAGUGUCAGAUGUGGCAGCAUCAGGUGUGACAGCGUCAGGUGUGACAGCGUCAGGUGUGGCAGCAUCAGGUGUGACAGCGUCAGGUGUGGCAGCGUCAGGUGUGACAGGACAGUGUCAGGUGUGACAGUGUCAGAUGUGGCAGCAUCAGGUGUGACAGCAUCAGGUGUGACAGCGUCAGGUGUGACAGUGUCAGGUGUGACAGCGUCAGGUGUGGCAGCAUCAGGUGUGACAGGACAGCGUCAGGUGUGAGAGCAUCAGGUGUGACAGUGUCAGAUGUGGCAGCAUCAGGUGUGACAGCAUCAGGUGUGACAGCGUCAGGUGUGACAGCGUCAGGUGUGGCAGCAUCAGGUGUGACAGCGUCAGGUGUGACAGCGUCAGGUGUGGCAGCAUUAGAUGUGACACCAUCAGGUGUGACAGCGUCAGGUGUGACACCAUCAGGUGUGACAGCAUCAGGUGUGGCAGCAUCAGGUGUGACAGGACAGCGUCAGGUGUGACAGUGUCAGAUGUGGCAGCAUCAGGUGUGACAGUGUCAGGUGUGACAGCAUCAGGUGUGGCAGCAUCAGGUGUGACAGUGUCAGGUGUGGCAGCAUCAGGUGUGACAGUGUCAGGUGUGACAGCAUCAGAUGCGACAGGGUGUUGGUUUCCAGAAGAAGCGUCAGGUCUAACCUGUGUAACAGCAGCAACAGAAGGUUUUCUUAUCUGGCGGGGAGGUGGGGCUGUGCAGUUUCUUGGAGUCAGGGUUUGAUCUGGCUGGAUUCAGGUCGCUGCCAUCGCUGACUGGAGGUCAGUCUCUGGAGCUGCUUCCUGCUCUCCACCCGGUGAGGUGGUCUGUGGCAGUGGGUAGUGAGGCGGAGGACAUACUGUGAUUCGAGGCUGUAGCUAACAUUAGCUACGUCAACAUGAACUUUACACUACAGCUGUGAGCUUUUAGCUCCUGUUAGCAUAAGGCUAAACUGUUAGCAUCAUUUUCUCCCCAUCUCUGAAACUGACUUGAGUUUUAUUCAGAUUAUUGUCAGACUCUGUUUCAUCAGUCUGUCUGUCUGUCUGUCUGUGUCUCUGUCUGUCUGUCUGUCCGUCUCAUGGGACAGAGCCAGAAGAUUGUCCCUCGUGACGUGCUGACGUAUUGCGGUAAGCGAGUUGUGUCAUUUCCGGUGUUUCUGUGACAGCGUCUCUGUACUGCUCUGGUGAAUUCUACUAGCCUGCUUUCUCACUUCAGUUGCUUUAACAUCUACUUCAACUCUUAACCCACACUGGUUCUGUUUAAGCACUUAUAGCUCUCCUCCUUUCUACGACUUUCUCGCUAAUCUCUUAGCUGUUGUUUGCACGUUACUAGCCUUGGUAGCUACAUUAGCUUUACAGUUAGCGGUGGCUUCUCCCUCUGCUCUCUCUUGCUCGGUGUGCCAAAUGUUAAGUUAUGCCUCUGCCUCCUUUAGCGACAGUGGUAAUUGUAAUAAGUGUAGCUUAUUUGCUGCAUUGGAGACGAGGCUUAGUGAAUUAGAAGCGCGGCUCCGCACCAUGGAAAACCAUUCAGUAGCUGCGGUAGUUAGCCAGCCCCCUGUAGCCGGUGCGGAGCCACAUAGCAUAGCCUUAGCCUCUGC
Epinephelus moara (kelp grouper) is the source of this 4797-nucleotide long non-coding RNA. RefSeq lists it as uncharacterized. The transcript is spliced from 4 exons. The record is from RefSeq and is a predicted model, not a curated record. NCBI's taxonomy places the organism in Eukaryota, Metazoa, Chordata, Actinopteri, Perciformes, Serranidae.